GCUAAGGAUAGGAUAGGAUAGGAUGGUUUGCAUCGCACUCCUUUGGGCGUUCCUCCUCUUUCCAUGUGUAGCACCUGUCGCGUGCCUCCCCUCCACGAUCGAAAUAAGCCCGACGGCAGCGCGGGUGCUACUCCCCUGGGGCUUGUCCAGCAGUGCAAGCGUGGGCUCGAGCCUCGCGCUCUGCCCCAGCCUCCCAGCCACUCCGGCAAUCGGUAAGCCUCCUCUCUCGCCCCGUCCGCGACCUCCAUUGGCAAGACUUGGAGCCCUGCGGCCGCGGACAGGUAAAAUCUUGGCGCGGGGAGUACGGAGAAUCGGAGCGUCAUGGAGGAUCCAUCCAACUCGAUCUGGGCGGCAACUCCCAGUGCCAGAGACAUGGAGGAACCAUCCAACCACCAUGCCCGAUGGAUCCUCAGCAGCAAGUCCGCAUCCCCGCAGAGAUCUCGUGAAUCCGAGGAACGGAGGGAGUAUAUUUAUCGAGCCGAGGAGCUACCUGACUGGAGAUCGACAGAUUUGUGUGCUAACAGCUAAGGCUUGCCCAAGGUUGAGCCGUGAGCUCGCUUCCUUUCAAAGAGUCCAGGCUUGUACGAGCCUAACCACGACAGUUCCCAAGGACUGUAGCAGCCGCUCGAGAGUCAUUUUCCAAAAAUGUAGCAUCCAAAUUUAAUAUAUAAACCUUGCUGGAGGUUUCUCCCAUUUAACAACCACCUCAUUACUCUGGAGUGGACACUUUGCAAAAUUUGAUGUGAUUGUGUUUAUACUUCUGGGAUCCUGGACAGUUUCUCUUCUCUGCCG
Molecule: ribosomal RNA, 792 nt
Filed under: Triticum aestivum (bread wheat)
Lineage: Eukaryota; Viridiplantae; Streptophyta; Magnoliopsida; Poales; Poaceae
Description: partial small subunit ribosomal RNA
Source: RNAcentral